This 253-nucleotide ribosomal RNA is filed under the name uncultured Marmoricola sp. RNAcentral describes it as "partial 16S ribosomal RNA". It matches the Rfam family "Bacterial small subunit ribosomal RNA", at positions 524 to 776 of the family's 1533-position model. The record is from RNAcentral. Lineage: Bacteria; Bacillati; Actinomycetota; Actinomycetes; Propionibacteriales; Nocardioidaceae.
UACGUAGGGUGCGAGCGUUGUCCGGAAUUAUUGGGCGUAAAGGGCUCGUAGGCGGUCUGUUGCGUCGAGAGUGAAAACUCAGGGCUUAACCCUGAGCCUGCUUUCGAUACGGGCAGACUAGAGGUAUGCAGGGGAGAACGGAAUUCCUGGUGUAGCGGUGAAAUGCGCAGAUAUCAGGAGGAACACCGGUGGCGAAGGCGGUUCUCUGGGCAUUACCUGACGCUGAGGAGCGAAAGUGUGGGGAGCGAACAGG